AUUGAACGCUGGCGGCAGGCCUAACACAUGCAAGUCGAGUGAGCGGCGGACGGGUGAGUAAUGUUUGGGGACUGCCCGAUAGAGGGGGAUAACUACUGGAAACGGUGGCUAAUAACGCAUACCAUCGGAUAACCCAAUGGGGAUUAGCUAGUAGGUUGGGUAAAGGCUAACCUAGGCGACGAUCUCUAGCUGGUCUGAGAGGAUGAUCAGCCAGACUGGGACUGAGACACGGCCCAGACGCUUACGGAGGCAGCAGUGGGGAAUAUUGCACAAUGGGCGCAAGCCUGAUGCAGCCAUGCCGCGUGUAUGAAGAAGGCCUUCGGGUUGUAAAGUACUUUCAGCGAGGAGGCGUUACCCGCAGAAGAAGCACCGGCUAACUACGUGCCAGCAGCCGCGGUAAUAC
This 403-nucleotide ribosomal RNA is filed under the name uncultured bacterium. RNAcentral describes it as "partial 16S ribosomal RNA". It matches the Rfam family "Bacterial small subunit ribosomal RNA", at positions 30 to 526 of the family's 1533-position model. The record is from RNAcentral.